RNAcentral lists this ribosomal RNA (497 nucleotides) under uncultured bacterium. RNAcentral describes it as "partial 16S ribosomal RNA". It matches the Rfam family "Bacterial small subunit ribosomal RNA", at positions 28 to 507 of the family's 1533-position model. The record is from RNAcentral.
GAUGAACGCUGGCGGCGUGCCUAAUACAUGCAAGUCGAGCGAACAGAUGAGGAGCUUGCUCCUCUGACGUUAGCGGCGGACGGGUGAGUAACACGUGGAUAACCUACCUAUAAGACUGGGAUAACUUCGGGAAACCGGAGCUAAUACCGGAUAAUAUAUUGAACCGCAUGGUUCAAUAGUGAAAGACGGUUUUGCUGUCACUUAUAGAUGGAUCCGCGCCGCGUUAGCUAGUUGGUAAGGUAACGGCUUACCAAGGCAACGAUGCGUAGCCGACCUGAGAGGGUGAUCGGCCACACUGGAACUGAGACAGGGUCCAGACUCCUACGGGAGGCAGCAGUAGGGAAUCUUCCGCAAUGGGCGAAAGCCUGACGGAGCAACGCCGCGUGAGUGAUGAAGGUCUUCGGAUCGUAAAACUCUGUUAUUAGGGAAGAACAAAUGUGUAAGUAACUAUGCACGUCUUGACGGUACCUAAUCAGAAAGCCACGGCUAACUACGUG